Molecule: ribosomal RNA, 309 nt
Filed under: uncultured Aquimarina sp.
Lineage: Bacteria; Pseudomonadati; Bacteroidota; Flavobacteriia; Flavobacteriales; Flavobacteriaceae
Description: bacterial SSU rRNA
Rfam family: Bacterial small subunit ribosomal RNA
Source: RNAcentral
GAUGAACGCUAGCGGCAGGCUUAACACAUGCAAGUCGAGGGGUAACAGGAGUGCUUGCACUCGCUGACGACCGGCGCACGGGUGCGUAACGCGUAUAGAAUCUACCUUGUAGUAAGGGAUAGCCCAGAGAAAUUUGGAUUAAUACCUUAUAGUAUCAAAAAGCAGCAUUGUUUUAUGAUUAAAGAUUUAUUGCUAUAAGAUGACUAUGCGUUCUAUUAGCUAGUUGGUAUGGUAACGGCAUACCAAGGCUACGAUAGAUAGGGGUCCUGAGAGGGAGAUCCCCCACACUGGUACUGAGACACGGACCAG